GACCAGACUCCUACGGGAGGCAGCAGUGGGGAAUAUUGCACAAUGGGGGAAACCCUGAUGCAGCGACGCCGCGUGGGCGACGAAGCGCUCCGGCGCGUAAAGCCCUGUCAGCAGGGAAGAACAAAGACAGUACCUGACCAAGAAGCCCCGGCUAACUACGUGCCUGCAGCCGCGGUAAUACGUAGGGGGCAAGCGUUAUCCGGAUUCACUGGGCGUAAAGGGAGCGCAGGCGGCACGGCAAGUCUGGUGUGAAAGCCCGGGGCCCAACCCCGGGACUGCAUUGGAAACUGCCGGGCUGGAGUGCAGGAGAGGUAAGCGGAAUUCCUAGUGUAGCGGUGAAAUGCGUAGAUAUUAGGAGGAACACCAGUGGCGAAGGCGGCUUACUGGACUGUAACUGACGUUGAGGCUCGAAAGCGUGGGGAGCAAACAGGAUUAGAUACCCCCGUA
Molecule: ribosomal RNA, 447 nt
Filed under: uncultured bacterium
Lineage: Bacteria
Description: bacterial SSU rRNA
Rfam family: Bacterial small subunit ribosomal RNA
Source: RNAcentral